This 253-nucleotide ribosomal RNA is filed under the name uncultured bacterium. RNAcentral describes it as "partial 16S ribosomal RNA". It matches the Rfam family "Bacterial small subunit ribosomal RNA", at positions 524 to 776 of the family's 1533-position model. The record is from RNAcentral.
UACGUAGGGUGCAAGCGUUAAUCGGAAUUACUGGGCGUAAAGCGUGCGCAGGCGGUUUUUUAAGUCAGAUGUGAAAUCCCCGGGCUUAACCUGGGAAUUGCAUUCGUGACUGCACGGCUAGAGUGUGUCAGAGGGGGGUAGAAUUCCACGUGUAGCAGUGAAAUGCGUAGAUAUGUGGAGGAAUACCGAUGGCGAAGGCAGCCCCCUGGGAUAACACUGACGCUCAUGCACGAAAGCGUGGGGAGCAAACAGG